GACGAACGCUGGCGGCGUGCUUAACACAUGCAAGUCGAACGGAAAGGCCCUGCUUUUGUGGGGUGCUCGAGUGGCGAACGGGUGAGUAACACGUGAGUAACCUGCCCUUGACUUUGGGAUAACUUCAGGAAACUGGGGCUAAUACCGGAUAGGAGCUCCUGCUGCAUGGUGGGGGUUGGAAAGUUUCGGCGGUUGGGGAUGGACUCGCGGCUUAUCAGCUUGUUGGUGGGGUAGUGGCUUACCAAGGCUUUGACGGGUAGCCGGCCUGAGAGGGUGACCGGCCACAUUGGGACUGAGAUACGGACCAGAAUCCUACGGGAGGCAGCAGUGGGGAAUAUUGCACAAUGGGCGGAAGCCUGAUGCAGCAACGCCGCGUGCGGGAUGACGGCCUUCGGGUUGUAAACAGAUUUCGCCUGUGACGAAGCGUGAGUGACGGUAAUGGGUAAAGAAGCACCGGCUAACUACGUG
Molecule: ribosomal RNA, 468 nt
Filed under: uncultured bacterium
Lineage: Bacteria
Description: partial 16S ribosomal RNA
Rfam family: Bacterial small subunit ribosomal RNA
Source: RNAcentral